This is a long non-coding RNA of Vitis vinifera (wine grape), 1870 nucleotides long. RefSeq lists it as uncharacterized. The record is from RefSeq and is a predicted model, not a curated record. NCBI's taxonomy places the organism in Eukaryota, Viridiplantae, Streptophyta, Magnoliopsida, Vitales, Vitaceae. The transcript is spliced from 2 exons.
AGCCUAGCCAUCUUGUUCUCUUUCCCCCCACAAUCAAAUCUCACCCUCGUUAUCACUUUCUGGGAUCUCUCUAGGGUUUCUAGCUUCCCAACCGUUCCAUCAAAUUUCCGCUUUGAUUUUUCAGCAACCAAACACCCUGAUGUCUCCUCGUUCAUCAAUGCCAUCGAUUCCUCCCUAACACUGUCAGAAAGAUGCAAGUCUUGCGAAACUCGGGCUCCAUCUGGGACUCAAUGACAUCGAAUCACGAUCGUUGAUAGACUUGUGGAUCUGCACGGCACUUGAGAGGAAGGUGAAGGAGCUGGAUCUAUUUAUGCUACCCAAGGCAAGAGCCAAGCCUUACGGCUUGCCAGGUAAAGUUUUUGCUACCAAAACAAUUAUAGUUCUCAGUGUACAGGAUUGCAGAUUGGAAAUCUGUGGUGAUAUAGAUCUGCACGGCACUAGAAAGUGUAUUUAGGACAAAUCCAAUGUGAUGAACAAUAAAUUCAGAAACUAAUAUCAAGUUUGCCCUUUGAUCGAUUGUUUGGACAUCGUAUCUUGCCAUGGGUUGCAAAAGCUUCAUGUUUUGGGGCUUGCUAAUCUACAUAGGCUGGAAGUACUUUGCUGUUAAGAAUUGAAAAGGAUAGAAAUGGAUUUCAAAUUGAAGAUUCCUAUUGGCUCUCUUUGAAUCUUCGAAAAAAUUGAUUUGAAAAUAAAGGAGGGAAAAGAAAAUAUGAUAGAAAUAGGAAGAUAUUUAAAGAUUUGAAAGUUUUCCUGUUUAAAAAAUAGAGAUUGUUGGAGAGAGUGGAGUGGAUGAAAAUUUUCCUUGUAUGUUUUUGGGUUAAUCUCUUCAAAGCAUUCAAUUUUCUCCAGUCAUUUGUACAAAAUAUGAGUGAGAUUGUGCCCAUGUCAGUGAGAAAAGAGUGGACCUUAGAACUAAGAAAUGGGGGAGGUUCUUCCUCUUCUUUCUCUUCUUUUUAAUUUUUCUAAACUUAAAAUUCAAAUCACCCAAAUUUCACCGGUAAUUUUUCGAUAUAUAUGAGCUAGGUGGUGCCCAAGUCAGUGUUUGCUUUUACUGCCACAGAGCUUUGGUUGUCUUCAACAGGUCAUUCAGUGGAAACUAUGUUCUCCCAUGGAUUUAUGAUUUUAUAUUAUAUUAGUGAAUCAUAGUCAACACAUAGUAUCUCAGGAACCAGUGACCCAGCUUCUUGGUUCGUUGUACAAGAGCCCAAAGUAUUAGUUGGUGGCAAUGACUUCUAUGCCUUCCCUCAUGUGGACCCUAAAGCAGAAAGGAUUGCAUGGAUCAAGUGGUGCCCCCCUGACUGUACUCAAAACAAGCACAUGAAGGAUGGAGAAGCACAUUAUUUUUGAACUUCUCUUGAGAAGUUAUUCCCCAACAUGGAUGGAUAUUUUGAGACCCUAACUCAAGUUGAAACAUUCAUCAUUGGAACAGAAGCUUGUGCAGUUGAUAGUCCAAAAACCAGGGUUCAGGCAAACCCUAUUAAGAGCAAAAUCGGCCAAUCAAGUAAUUCAAAUAUCAAAAGGGUCCCAAAACAAUUAACAAGCAGUCGUCUUCAGUUUGUGAACCGAGACCCCUGGAGAAGACCAAGGGAAUCAACAAUCUUAGCUGCAUAAAUUCAAGGACAGAGUGGAUUGAAGCCUGGCCGUGAAGGAAGCUCAACAAGGGUCUAGCCAUGACUGAUUACAUGACAAGUUAGCAAUGUAAGUCUAUUUGAUUUGGAAGGUGUGAAAGAAAGUUUGUUAAAAUUCUUCAUGCAUGUUUUGGGGCUAUGGGGCAACCUGUUUUUGAUUUCAAGGAUAACAUUUGUAUCCUACAUUACUAACAUUUUCUACUUUCCAAAAAUGCAUUCAAAUCCAAUGGAUAUAAUCUUCA